RNAcentral lists this ribosomal RNA (374 nucleotides) under uncultured bacterium. RNAcentral describes it as "bacterial SSU rRNA". It matches the Rfam family "Bacterial small subunit ribosomal RNA", at positions 28 to 416 of the family's 1533-position model. The record is from RNAcentral.
GAUUAACGCUGGCGGCGUGCCUAACACAUGCAAGUCGAACGAGGUAGCAAUACCUAGUGGCAGACGGGUGAGUAACGCGUGGUCAACCUACCGUUGAGUGGGGGAUAACUAGUCGAAAGAUUAGCUAAUACCGCAUACGAUCUACGGAUGAAAGUGGGGGACCGCAAGGCCUCAUGCUCGUGGAGCGGCCGAUAUCUGAUUAGCUAGUUGGUGGGGUAAGAGCCCACCAAGGCAACGAUCAGUAGCUGGUUUGAGAGAACGACCGGCCACACUGGGACUGAGACACGGCCCAGACUCCUACGGGAGGCAGCAGUGGGGAAUAUUGGACAAUGGGGCAACCCUGAUCCAGCAAUGCCGCGUGUGUGAAGAAGGCC